UAUUUUGUAAACUUUCAUCAAGGUUACCUUUUCCGCAAAGGUGAACAAUUUGAUAUUUUUUCAGAAGUUCUGGUAACGCGGAUCGAACCGUUUCAUUAAUUUUUUUUGCGCCCAAACUUCCUCCCAUGAUUGUAAUAACUGGCUUUUUACGUGAAAAGCCUAAAAAUGCUAAAC
This 174-nucleotide non-coding RNA is filed under the name Bacillus cereus. RNAcentral's name for it is "Staphylococcus sRNA 414". It matches the Rfam family "Staphylococcus sRNA 414". Rfam says of the family: Antisense of an annotated CDS (SAOUHSC_1422) but was considered an trans-encoded sRNA rather than a typical antisense RNA. The record is from RNAcentral. RNAcentral also lists the same sequence under 1 other name. Lineage: Bacteria; Bacillati; Bacillota; Bacilli; Caryophanales; Bacillaceae.